This 244-nucleotide ribosomal RNA is filed under the name uncultured bacterium. RNAcentral describes it as "partial 16S ribosomal RNA". It matches the Rfam family "Bacterial small subunit ribosomal RNA", at positions 116 to 354 of the family's 1533-position model. The record is from RNAcentral.
CGUGGGUAACCUGCCCAAGAGACUGGGAUAACACCUGGAAACAGAUGCUAAUACCGGAUAACAACACUAGACGCAUGUCUAGAGUUUAAAAGAUGGUUCUGCUAUCACUCUUGGAUGGACCUGCGGUGCAUUAGCUAGUUGGUAAGGUAACGGCUUACCAGGGCAAUGAUGCAUAGCCGAGUUGAGAGACUGAUCGGCCACAUUGGGACUGAGACACGGCCCAAACUCCUACGGGAGGCAGCAG